RNAcentral lists this ribosomal RNA (508 nucleotides) under Mycetophagus sp. CO873. RNAcentral's name for it is "partial 16S ribosomal RNA". The stretch from base 382 to 508 matches the Rfam family "Archaeal large subunit ribosomal RNA", at positions 2542 to 2669 of the family's 2987-position model. The record is from RNAcentral. Lineage: Eukaryota; Metazoa; Arthropoda; Insecta; Coleoptera; Mycetophagidae.
GUCUUUUUGUUUAUAAUUUAAAGUCUGACCUGCCCAAUGAUUAAUUUAAUGGCCGCAGUAUUUUGACUGUGCAAAGGUAGCAUAAUCAUUAGUUUUUUAAAUGGAAGCUAGAAUGAAUGGUUUGAUAAAAAAGAAUCUGUCUCUAUUAAAAUUUUAAAAUUUUAUUUUUAAGUAAAAAAGCUUAAAUUUUUUAAAAAGACGAGAAGACCCUAUAGAGUUUGAUAAAUAAAUAUUUAAUUUAUUAUAAGAUAAAAAUUUAAUUAAAUAUAUUAUUUUUUUAGUUGGGGUGAUUAAAAAAUUUAAUAAACUUUUUUAUUUAAUAUCAUUAAUUUAUGAAUAAUUGAUCCUAAAUUUUAGAUUAUAAGAAAAAAUUACCUUAGGGAUAACAGCGUAAUUUUUUUGAAGAGUUCUAAUCGAUAAAAAAGAUUGCGACCUCGAUGUUGGAUUAAAGUAUAAGUAUGGUGUAGAAGCUAUAUAUUUAGGUCUGUUCGACCUUUAAAACUUUACA